AAUAGAUACCCCGGUAGUCCACGCCGUAAACGAUGAGUGCUAAGUGUUAGAGGGUUUCCGCCCUUUAGUGCUGCAGCUAACGCAUUAAGCACUCCGCCUGGGGAGUACGGCCGCAAGGCUGAAACUCAAAGGAAUUGACGGGGGCCCGCACAAGCGGUGGAGCAUGUGGUUUAAUUCGAAGCAACGCGAAGAACCUUACCAGGUCUUGACAUCCUCUGCCAACCCUAGAGAUAGGGUGUUCCCCUUCGGGGGACAGAGUGACAGGUGGUGCAUGGUUGUCGUCAGCUCGUGUCGUGAGAUGUUGGGUUAAGUCCCGCAACGAGCGCAACCCUUGAUCUUAGUUGCCAGCAUUUAGUUGGGCAUUCUAAGGUGACUGCCGGUGACAAACCGGAGGAAGGUGGGGAUGACGUCAAAUCAUCAUGCCCCUUAUGACCUGGGCUACACACGUGCUACAAUGGAUGGUACAAAGAGCUGCGAACCCGCGAGGGUAAGCCAAUCUCAUAAAGCCAUUCUCAGUUCGGA
RNAcentral lists this ribosomal RNA (522 nucleotides) under uncultured bacterium. RNAcentral describes it as "bacterial SSU rRNA". It matches the Rfam family "Bacterial small subunit ribosomal RNA", at positions 777 to 1297 of the family's 1533-position model. The record is from RNAcentral.